Molecule: ribosomal RNA, 575 nt
Filed under: uncultured bacterium
Lineage: Bacteria
Description: bacterial SSU rRNA
Rfam family: Bacterial small subunit ribosomal RNA
Source: RNAcentral
ACGGGUGAGUAAUACGUAGGGAUCUGCCUUGAAGAGUGGGACAACCCGAGGAAACUCGGGCUAAUACCGCAUGAUCUCUGAGGAGGAAAGGCUAGGGGUAACUCUGGCGCUUUAAGAGGAACCUACGUCCGAUUAGCUAGUUGGUAAGGUAAAGGCUUACCAAGGCGAUGAUCGGUAGCUGUUCUGAGAGGAAGAACAGCCACACUGGGACUGAGACCCGGCCCAGACUCCUACGGGAGGCAGCAGUGGGGAAUAUUGGACAGUGGGGGCAACCCUGAUCCAGCGAUGCCGCGUGUGUGAAGAAGGCCUUCGGGUUGUAAAGCACUUUAGUUGGGGAAGAAGAAUUGUUGUUUAAGAGAUGGCAAUUUCGACGGUACCCAAGGAAUAAGCACCGGCUAACUCUGUGCCAGCAGCCGCGGUAAUACAGAGGGUGCGAGCGUUAAUCGGAAUUACUGGGCGUAAAGGGCGCGUAGGCGGUUUGAUAAGUGAGAUGUGAAAUCCCCGGGCUUAACCUGGGGACUGCAUCUCAGACUAUGAGACUGGAGUACAGUAGAGGGUAGUGGAAUUUCCGGUGU